UGGGGAAUAUUGGACAAUGGGCGAAAGCCUGAUCCAGCAAUGCCGCGUGAGUGAUGAAGGCCUUAGGGUUGUAAAGCUCUUUUACCCGGGAUGAUAAUGACAGUACCGGGAGAAUAAGCUCCGGCUAACUCCGUGCCAGCAGCCGCGGUAAUACGGAGGGAGCUAGCGUUAUUCGGAAUUACUGGGCGUAAAGCGCACGUAGGCGGCUUUGAAGUUAGAGGUGAAAGCCUGGAGCUCAACUCCAGAAUUGCCUUUAAGACUGCAUCGCUUGAAUCCAGGAGAGGUGAGUGGAAUUCCGAGUGUAGAGGUGAAAUUCGUAGAUAUUCGGAAGAACACCAGUGGCGAAGGCGGCUCACUGGACUGGUAUUGACGCUGAGGUGCGAAAGCGUGGGAGCAAACAGGAUUAGAUACCCUGGUAGUCCACGCCGUAAACGAUGAUAACUAGCUGUCGGGGCUCUUAGAGCUUCGGUGGCGCAGCUAACG
RNAcentral lists this ribosomal RNA (483 nucleotides) under uncultured Pseudomonadota bacterium. RNAcentral's name for it is "bacterial SSU rRNA". It matches the Rfam family "Bacterial small subunit ribosomal RNA", at positions 355 to 857 of the family's 1533-position model. Lineage: Bacteria; Pseudomonadati; Pseudomonadota. The record is from RNAcentral.